Molecule: ribosomal RNA, 490 nt
Filed under: uncultured bacterium
Lineage: Bacteria
Description: bacterial SSU rRNA
Rfam family: Bacterial small subunit ribosomal RNA
Source: RNAcentral
AUGAACGCGUAGCGGCAGGCUAACACAUGGCAAGUCGAGGGGCGAGCAUACCCAGCAAGUGGGUGAGUGGCGGACCGGCGGAAGGGUGCGUAACGCGUGAGCAACAGUACCCUAUACAGGGGGAUAAGCCAGGGAAACUUGGUCUAAUAUCCCAUAGGAAAUAGAUAAGGCAUUCUUAUUUAUUUUAAAGCUUCGGUGGUAUAGGAUUGGCUCGCGUGACAUUAGCUAAAUGGAGGGGUAACGGCCCACCAUGGCAAUGAUGUCUAGGGGUUCUGAGAGGAAGAUCCCCCACACUGGGACUGAGACACGGCCCAGACUCCUACGGGAGGCAGCAGUGAGGAAUAUUGGACAAUGGAUGGAAAUCUGAUCCAGCCAUGCCGCGUGCAGGAAGACGGCCCUAUGGGUUGUAAACUGCUUUUAUACGGGAGCAAUAAGGUCUAUGCAUAGAUUGAUGAGAGUACCGUAUGAAUAAGCAUCGGCUAACUCCGUG